CCGUGCUCUGCCUGCCGGGGCGGCCCCGGCCCCGCCGCACUCGCCGCUGCCGUCCGAGCGGAGCGGAGCCGCAGUCCCCAGCGCCAUUGCCUCCCUCAGCCCGCUAUGGCAGGCUGCAACUUGCAACGCGAACUGUUGCACUGAGCGUAGACUGGAAGAAAGGCGGCAGAGGAAUUGGCAGAGGCAGUCUCUAGAAGUUGGUACAGGUUUCUUGGAGGUAAGAGCUGCUUUGAAUUCAGAUGUUAAUGGAGGAUGAUUACAAAAAUUCAGCUGCUUUAGUGUGGGCAUUAUUGAGCAAGAAAAACCUGUCAAAAGGUUUUUAGUAACUUAAGUUUCAAUAUCCUAAAGAUUUGAGAGCUUAAUUUUUCAUUUUAAAAUUGUUAUCACUGUACAGAGAGACUCAGAAGUACUUACCCUCUUUCCUGUUUACCUGUAAACUUUGGCUUUCUUUUACUUUUUAAAAGGGAAAAGUUUAUAUGAGGUUUAUGUAGUAAAAAAGAGAUUUUAAGAACGCUUGACCCCAAAGUACAGCAUCUUGCUUAGUUUUUGGAAGUUUCUUGAAUUCUCAAUCUUUUAUUAAGCUAUUUUAAAUGGAUGUGAAAUAUUUAUUUUAAGACAAGCCUAAUAAGUCAACUCAGCAUCAUCUUUUCAAGUGUGUGUUUGUAAUCAGUAACUGGUUUUAUAUUGCUUACUGGACUAAAAUUGUUCUCUUUCAGGAAGGAGUGAGUAUCUGUUUCAAAAGUAGAUGUAGGAAUGCCUGAGCCUUUGGAAAGGAGGUUCGUAUUGAGAGCUGAAAAAGUUGGCACGUUACCCUGAUUUGCUUAAUAAAUGGAAUUUUUCCUGGAUGAGUCUCUAACUUCACCUUUGUUUUAAUGUGAUUAAGGUCUUGGAAAAAAAGUAGCUUUCAUCAAAGUGCCAAGUAGCAGUACAAAGAAAGCUGAGAAAAGAACCAGUGUGUGCUCAGGUUGUUUUCUGAGUGCCAUGAAGGAGCUUAAUGAACUGUGUAUUAAUAUCCAUAUAAUGUGGAGGUAUCUGAAUUCUUAGACUAUUAAUGCUCCACAGGGAGACUGUAAGGACUGCUGUAUAAUACUAUAAAUCAAGUUAAUGUGUACCAUGAACAGUGAGAGGUUACUAUGUUGGAAGUAAGACUAUAAAGUAGUGAAGUGUUUGAUAAAGAACAGUGAUAUGCUAUUUAAUUUUUAUUUACUGUGAGCAUCGUUGCUAUCUAGAAAACACUGCAGGUGUCAUUUGAUAUCACUCACUUGAUGUCAAGCUGUAAAAUUGUUACCUCUUAGAUUUUGCUUGCACUUUUUUGAAAUGUAAUCUUACAGAUUCAUCUGUAUACUUCUUUCUUGGUCUUCCGUUAGGACUCUGUUCACGCAGACCGUUGCAUGUGCGUUGAUGGGAUCUCCUGUGGAGGGUGGCACUCAUGCUGCACAGAAAUUUGGCAAAACUGUUGCCUGUUGGAACAAUAAACUGAGAGAGCAAUGGGAUGAAAGAUGAGCGAGGAACAGCUUGACCAAUAAUGGUUUUGACCAAAUGCACUUCAGGUUGACCUAUACUGGAAAUACUCAUAUUUCAGAUAUUUUUGUUUAGAAUCACAGCUUAAGUAAGCUCUUACUAAAUAAUCCGAGUAACCAAACAUGCAGUUUUUGAAAGCUGUGAGAUCCUUUGUUAAAAGUCUAAUUCAGCUGGAUUUAAGUCCUCAACAAGCUCAUUCACACAGGAAGUUAAUGAGAUUUAGCUAAUGUGCUUUAAAUCAACGGAAGGUUUGAGUUCGGCAUAACUUUCCUGUGCGUCUUUGUGUAGACAUGCCCUAAUAAUGUUGGUCAGUUGUUAAGACAUACUAUCCUGGAUGGCAGUCAAAAUACCAACUACUUAAAAAUUCAUUAGUGCCUACAAAGAAGGAAUAUGUUUGGGCUUUGAAGACAUGCUUUGAAGCAAAGUGAGAAACUAACUCAGGACUGAAACUUCUUAAAGUGCACGUCAAGUCAUGGUUUUUAAAAACUAAAUGUUAGGAAGUUCGGGCAUAUUUAGCAGUACUUUGCUUCUACUGCAGGCAAAGGGAAAUUGUGUCUUUUUAGGUAGUGUUGCAUUAGGAAUUUGAAGUAUACUUUUUUUAAGUGUGGAUGUAAUUUGCUCUUGACUGGAGGGGGAAAAUCAUCUCUGUAGCAUUUAAGGACACAGUAGCAUUUCAGUGCAAUUUCAUUUCAUGGCAAGGAACUCUGGGUGCAAGAAGCACCUGGUACAGUCAGAUCAUGAGUAUUUUUUGGAUCAAAGAGGCUCAGUUUCAAAAUAGCCUGAGGAAGAGCUCUACUUAAGACUAAAGUGGGAAGAUGGUUUUUACAUGUAGCAACAGAAGAUUAAGUGCAUGUGCUUUGCA
This 2383-nucleotide long non-coding RNA is filed under the name Falco tinnunculus (common kestrel). Its description in RNAcentral is "lncRNA (ENSFTIG00000006973.1)". Lineage: Eukaryota; Metazoa; Chordata; Aves; Falconiformes; Falconidae. The record is from RNAcentral.